Molecule: long non-coding RNA, 2679 nt
Filed under: Gossypium barbadense (sea-island cotton)
Lineage: Eukaryota; Viridiplantae; Streptophyta; Magnoliopsida; Malvales; Malvaceae
Description: long non-coding RNA (GBAR_LNC020203)
Source: RNAcentral
GCAGAAUGUAAUCAUUUUGGAGUUAAAUUGAUUCCAUGAAGUGAAACUACAAAUUGUCCAUUGACACAGCGUUAAAUUGAUUCCAUGAAGUGAAACUACAAAUUCUUUUCACCCCUAGUUGAGUAAAAUGUUGGAAUGUGGAAAGGAAAAGAACAAUCUUACUGUCACCUGCCAUUAUUCGUAUCCAAAAAUUAUCGCGUUGACACCAAGGGAAGCAAUCAUGACAGGAAGAAACACUGUACAUACAUGCAUCAUUUACUCAAACUUGGAUGUGAGUGUUAAAUAAAGGUAUGUCAGACACGGUAUGUUCAAUUUUUCCCAGGUUUGGUCUUAUGUAAUUUGGAGAAUCCUUGGAGUCAUAUUGUUAUACCUGUAUCCAUAUAUGCGUCAAACACAAAUACAUAACAAAAGAUGAAGAGUCAGACAACAUAAGUUUUAUAUAUAAGGUUGAUAGAGAACUUCUAAAUAAAUUGUUUUAAUGAAAGGCCAAAAACUCCCAAAGAUGAAUAGCAUAAUUAUCCAUUCAAUAAAAAUUAAGAAACUGGGGAAGUUUUUAAGCUAACCUUUCAAAAUAGCAUUAGCCAUGAUUUGGAGAUAUCAAUAUCACCAUCUCCAUCCAUCUUUUUCCUACAUUAAAGACAAGGCGAAAAGACUUUUAGUAAAUAAGGCAAGUAAGGGAUAGUAAAGAAGAGAACAAGAUACAAAGAGUAAAGAAGAUUAAAUAUCUAAAUAAAGAAGAUCAUAUUUUCAAUACCUAAAUAUAAAAUGCUAUCACAAGAUACAAUAAUUCAAAUAUCUUAAACUUUCAUGUUCCAAAAGUCAUUUUUUGAGUCCUCAGAGGAACUUGGCUUAGAAAUAUAGACAAGAGGAAAACUUGGGCAUCUAAAGCAAAACUGAUUUAAAAGGGAACAACAGUCUUUCACUCUCAUCACCUACCAUCUCCUUCGAGACUCGAUUACGUUAGGAAACAGAAGAUAUAUGAAUGAAAAUUUAUACAAAACAAAUAUGAGGAAAACCAGGGCAUCUAAAACAAAACCAUUUUAAAAGGGACCAACAGUCUAUCAUUCUCAUCACCUACCAUCUCCCCCGAGACUCAAUUAUUAUAUGAAACAGAAGUUAUAUGAAUGAAAACUGAUAAUAAAAAAAUAAGCAUUUGUUAACCAAGUUAGCAAUUGUUUCAUGCCCUUUUUUUUUCUUUCUAUUUUCUAAUAUCCAAACAUAUGGUCAAGCACAAGGUACCAAAAGACUAAACAUUUGGAACAUUUCAUUGAUCAAAGUUUUGGAGUCCUCGUCUUAUAAUUGUGGCCUAAACACCUAACAACCUAUCAAGUUGAGAGUGAAUGCUGAAAAUCACGUCCAUCUUCUAUUUAGUUGUAAAUAUCUACUUACAACAUUGAAAUACCAUUUGAUUGCCUCAAGGACUAACAUACCAUAAUAUUGAUAAUCAUCCAACUAUGCUUUUAAGUUUGGUAACAAUUUUUAAGUAUCCUUUCCUUCUAGAGUAAUCAAAGACUACAAAGCAUCAAACCAACAAGAAAUGCAGAGUGUUCAAAGAAACCCACCUUGAAUCCGGCCUCGUUGUUUCACGCGAUCAACAACUCCUAUAUCGAAACCACAAAGUACAGUUUACAUGCAAAACCCAGAAAACUAGAGAGAAAAAGUGGCUGAGAAAAACAUAGAUAACCAACAUCACAUAAUUUUCAGACCACAGAGUAUAUUCCAACUACUGCUUCUAAAAUAAGUAGUUCCAUAGAUCAAAAACACUAAUCAACUCACACAAUUACUGUCUAGAAUCUAAAUAACUAUAUUCAAACAAAUAAUGUAGCUUGCAUUGAAAAUGAAGAAAAUGAAACAAUAAAAAAAACUACUAAAAACUAAAUUAAUAAAAUCAACAUCAAUUAAAAUUCAUAGACUUAUUGUAGAUGCAAUUCUAUUAGCUUAACUAAGCAUAAAAUCAAAACCCAUUAAACUCUAAUGCAGGAAAAAUGUUCAUUAAUUCAUUAAAAAUAAAAUUCAACAUAAAAAUGUUACUUAAAACCCUAAAAGCUUAAUUGUAACAAGACGUUAAUCUAUAAAUUAGUAUUAAAACAACAACAAUAACAUUCUCUCAUAGAACAAAAACCCAAAUUCAAGAACUAAAAACCCUAGACCACCUAGACUCGAAAAUCAAAACCCACUUAAAACAUACAAAUAUAAAACACAGGAAGAAAAAACCGACAACCAAUCAAAAUUACAUGAAAAAAAGGCGUUUUUUAGUGAUGUAGACGGCGUGGAGCUAGCGUUUGCCUUUUGUUACUCUGACUUUUUCCUGUCCUUGUUCUUGUCAUUUUUGUUGAUGAUGAUGGAUUCAGUGGCAGUGAAGUUGGAGUUAGAAGUAAGAUAACUAAUGGGGUUUUUUGAGAGGGUUCCUUUUGCUGGUUUUACUUCUUCAUUUUGUUAAUGAUGAUUCAGUUUCUUUCAUCUUUCUCUUCUUUCCAGAGAAAUCUGAGCGUGGGUUUUGUUUUGUAGAGUGCAUUGAUGCAGCUGGUUUUGAGUUGGCGGGAAAAUUCAGUUAAUAUAGCCAUGAAAAUGGAGGGAUUCUGGAAACGAUGGAAUUAUUGAGGAACCGUUGCAAGCUCUGGACGCUGCUCCAAUCCAACAAGUUAUUGGAUUCCUAAGACUCAACCGCCGACAUUUUCA